This 73-nucleotide transfer RNA is filed under the name Rubripirellula reticaptiva. RNAcentral describes it as "Planctomycetes bacterium Poly59 tRNA-Gln". Lineage: Bacteria; Pseudomonadati; Planctomycetota; Planctomycetia; Pirellulales; Pirellulaceae. The record is from RNAcentral.
ACUCUCUCCGGCGCGUAGUCGCGACGUGAGCCUUUGAAGCUCGCAGAUCGGGUUCGAUCCCCGGACGGAGUGC